RNAcentral lists this unclassified non-coding RNA (144 nucleotides) under soil metagenome. RNAcentral describes it as "partial internal transcribed spacer 1". The record is from RNAcentral.
UAAUAAGUGUUUUAUGGCACUUUUUAAAUCCAUAUCCACCUUGUGUGCAAUGUCAGUCGAUCUUCUUCAUGGAGAUCGACCAAACAUCAACCUUUAUUUUUAACUCUUUGUCUGAAAAAUAUUAUGAAUAAACAAUUCAAAAUA